GACGAACGCUGGCGGCGUGCUUAACACAUGCAAGUCGAACGGAAAGGCCCUGCUUUUGUGGGGUGCUCGAGUGGCGAACGGGUGAGUAACACGUGAGUAACCUGCCCUUGACUUUGGGAUAACUUCAGGAAACUGGGGCUAAUACCGGAUAGGAGCUCCUGCUGCAUGGUGUGGGUUGGAAAGUUUCGGCGGUUGGGGAUGGACUCGCGGCUUAUCAGCUAGUUGGUAGGGUAGUGGCUUACCAAGGCUUUGACGGGUAGCCGGCCUGAGAGGGUGACCGGCCCAACGGGAACGGAGACAGGGGCAAGAGUCCUACGGGAGGCAGCAGUAGGGAAGCGUACGCAAUGGGCGAAAGCCUGACGGAGCAACGCCGCGUGAGUGAGGAAGGUCUUCGGAUCGUAAAAAGCUGUUAUUAGGGAAGAACAAAUGUGUAAGUAACUAUGCACGUCUGGACGGUACCUAAUCAGAAAGCCACGGCUAACUACGUG
This 488-nucleotide ribosomal RNA is filed under the name uncultured bacterium. RNAcentral's name for it is "partial 16S ribosomal RNA". It matches the Rfam family "Bacterial small subunit ribosomal RNA", at positions 28 to 507 of the family's 1533-position model. The record is from RNAcentral.